GCAGUGUUGAUUCAGUGGUAUAAUUCUCGCCUUCCGUGCGGGGGACCCAGGUUCGAAUCCUGGCCAGUGCA
RNAcentral lists this transfer RNA (71 nucleotides) under Loxodonta africana (African savanna elephant). It matches the Rfam family "tRNA". From Rfam's summary of the family: Transfer RNA (tRNA) molecules are approximately 80 nucleotides in length. Their secondary structure includes four short double-helical elements and three loops (D, anti-codon, and T loops). The record is from Rfam by way of RNAcentral. Lineage: Eukaryota; Metazoa; Chordata; Mammalia; Proboscidea; Elephantidae.